AGCUCCAAUAGCGUAUAUUAAAGUUGUUGCAGUUAAAAAGCUCGUAGUUGGAUUUCUGGUAGGAGCGACCGUGCCGAACUUGAUUGUUCGUGUAUUGUGUUGUCUUCAGCCAUCCUCGUGGAGAACUUUUCUAACAUUAACUUGUUGGGAUUGGGACCCGCGUCGUUUACUGUGAAAAAAUUAGAGUGUUUAAAGCAGGCAUUAGCUUGAAUACAUUAGCAUGGAAUAAUAAGAUAGGACUUUGGUACUAUUUUGUUGGUUUGCAUACCAAAUUAAUGAUCAACAGGAACAGUUUGAGGAUAUUCGUAUGAACAUGUCAGAGGUGAAAUUCUUGGAUUUUGAUCAGACGAACUACUGCGAAAGCAUUUAUCAAGGAUGUUUUCAUUAAUCAAGAACGAAA
RNAcentral lists this ribosomal RNA (400 nucleotides) under phytoplankton environmental sample. RNAcentral's name for it is "partial small subunit ribosomal RNA". It matches the Rfam family "Eukaryotic small subunit ribosomal RNA", at positions 587 to 988 of the family's 1831-position model. The record is from RNAcentral.